Molecule: ribosomal RNA, 1398 nt
Filed under: Pediococcus acidilactici
Lineage: Bacteria; Bacillati; Bacillota; Bacilli; Lactobacillales; Lactobacillaceae
Description: bacterial SSU rRNA
Rfam family: Bacterial small subunit ribosomal RNA
Source: RNAcentral
UGAUUAUGACGUGCUUGCACUGAAUGAGAUUUUAACACGAAGUGAGUGGCGGACGGGUGAGUAACACGUGGGUAACCUGCCCAGAAGCAGGGGAUAACACCUGGAAACAGAUGCUAAUACCGUAUAACAGAGAAAACCGCCUGGUUUUCUUUUAAAAGAUGGCUCUGCUAUCACUUCUGGAUGGACCCGCGGCGCAUUAGCUAGUUGGUGAGGUAACGGCUCACCAAGGCGAUGAUGCGUAGCCGACCUGAGAGGGUAAUCGGCCACAUUGGGACUGAGACACGGCCCAGACUCCUACGGGAGGCAGCAGUAGGGAAUCUUCCACAAUGGACGCAAGUCUGAUGGAGCAACGCCGCGUGAGUGAAGAAGGGUUUCGGCUCGUAAAGCUCUGUUGUUAAAGAAGAACGUGGGUGAGAGUAACUGUUCACCCAGUGACGGUAUUUAACCAGAAAGCCACGGCUAACUACGUGCCAGCAGCCGCGGUAAUACGUAGGUGGCAAGCGUUAUCCGGAUUUAUUGGGCGUAAAGCGAGCGCAGGCGGUCUUUUAAGUCUAAUGUGAAAGCCUUCGGCUCAACCGAAGAAGUGCAUUGGAAACUGGGAGACUUGAGUGCAGAAGAGGACAGUGGAACUCCAUGUGUAGCGGUGAAAUGCGUAGAUAUAUGGAAGAACACCAGUGGCGAAGGCGGCUGUCUGGUCUGUAACUGACGCUGAGGCUCGAAAGCAUGGGUAGCGAACAGGAUUAGAUACCCUGGUAGUCCAUGCCGUAAACGAUGAUUACUAAGUGUUGGAGGGUUUCCGCCCUUCAGUGCUGCAGCUAACGCAUUAAGUAAUCCGCCUGGGGAGUACGACCGCAAGGUUGAAACUCAAAAGAAUUGACGGGGGCCCGCACAAGCGGUGGAGCAUGUGGUUUAAUUCGAAGCUACGCGAAGAACCUUACCAGGUCUUGACAUCUUCUGCCAACCUAAGAGAUUAGGCGUUCCCUUCGGGGACAGAAUGACAGGUGGUGCAUGGUUGUCGUCAGCUCGUGUCGUGAGAUGUUGGGUUAAGUCCCGCAACGAGCGCAACCCUUAUUACUAGUUGCCAGCAUUCAGUUGGGCACUCUAGUGAGACUGCCGGUGACAAACCGGAGGAAGGUGGGGACGACGUCAAAUCAUCAUGCCCCUUAUGACCUGGGCUACACACGUGCUACAAUGGAUGGUACAACGAGUCGCGAAACCGCGAGGUUUAGCUAAUCUCUUAAAACCAUUCUCAGUUCGGACUGUAGGCUGCAACUCGCCUACACGAAGUCGGAAUCGCUAGUAAUCGCGGAUCAGCAUGCCGCGGUGAAUACGUUCCCGGGCCUUGUACACACCGCCCGUCACACCAUGAGAGUUUGUAACACCCAAAGCCGGUGGGGU